Molecule: ribosomal RNA, 460 nt
Filed under: uncultured bacterium
Lineage: Bacteria
Description: partial 16S ribosomal RNA
Rfam family: Bacterial small subunit ribosomal RNA
Source: RNAcentral
CCUACGGGAGGCAGCAGUGAGGAAUAUUGGUCAAUGGACGCAAGUCUGAACCAGCCAUGCCGCGUGCAGGAAGACGGCUCUAUGAGUUGUAAACUGCUUUUGUACGAGGAUAAACGCGGAUACGCGUAUCUGUCUGAGAGUAUCGUACGAAUAAGGAUCGGCUAACUCCGUGCCAGCAGCCGCGGUAAUACGGAGGAUGCAAGCGUUAUCCGGAUUUAUUGGGUUUAAAGGGUGCGUAGGCGGUCGGAUAAGUUAGAGGUGAAAUCCCGAGGCUCAACUUCGGAAUUGCCUCUGAUACUGGUCGGCUAGAGAGGAGUUGCGGUAGGCGGAAUGUAUGGUGUAGCGGUGAAAUGCUUAGAGAUCAUACAGAACACCGAUUGCGAAGGCAGCGUACCAAGUUAACUCUGACGUUGAGGCACGAAAGCGUGGGGAGCAAACAGGAUUAGAUACCCUAGUAGUC